GGAGUAUUAGUCAUAAAUGUUAAAUAUUUUACAUUUUACUGUCAAGUGAAAAUUAAUUGUGUUUUGAUUGUGUGCUUCCCUAUUCCCUUUUGUCCCCUAUAUCAGGUGAUGCUUUUCCUUGGACGAUCAGCUUACAUCAUUUCAGCAUAUAUACCCUUCUUGGAAAACAAGUGACACUUUGCCUAGUGGAACCUAUGGGUUGCACCUCCACUCUAGCUGUCACGUCUCAAAAACUACUUGCUACGGGACCUGAUACACGACAUUCAUUUGUUGUCUGUCUCCAUGUUGACCUAGAGUCACUAGAGAUAAAAUGCUCUAAUCCCCAGGUCCAGCUUUUCUAUGAACUAACUGAUACCAUGAAUAAGGUCUGGAAUAAGAUUCAGAAGAGAGGCAAUCUCAACCUAUCUACAACCUCUCCAGAGACCAUGGCAGGGCCUGUUCCUACUUCUCCAGUUAGAAGCAGUAUAGGCACAGCUCCUCCAGAUACCAGCACAUGCAGCCCAUCUGCUGACAUUGGGACUACUACUGAGGGAGAUUCUAUACAAGCAGGUGAGGACUCACCAUUCUCAGAUUCUGUCACCUUGGAACAAACUACAAGUAAUAUUGGCGGAACCAGUGGACGUGUUAGUUUAUGGAUGCAGUGGGUGCUUCCCAAAGUUACUGUAAAGCUCUUUGCUCCAGAUCCUGAAAAUAAAGGCACAGAGGUUUGUAUGGUCUGUGAACUAGAAGAUCUCAGUGCUUCUAUAGAUGUCCAGGAUGUAUAUACCAAAGUGAAAUGUAAAAUAGAGAGUUUCAAUAUUGAUCACUAUAGAAGCAGCCUUGGGGAAGAGUGUUGGUCUUUGGGGCAAUGUGGAGGUGUCUUCCUUUCCUGUACUGACAAGCUGAACAGACGCACCUUGUUGGUUCGACCCAUCAGCAAGCAGGACCCUUUCAGUAAUUGCUCUGGCUUCUUUCCUUCUACAACUACAAAACUUCUAGAUGGCACUCAUCAGCAGCAUGGAUUCCUCUCUCUGACAUACACAAAAGCUGUAACAAAAAAUGUCCGCCACAAGUUAACAUCAAGAAAUGAGCGAAGAAGUUUUCAUAAAUUAUCUGAAGGCUUAAUGGAUGGUUCUCCUCAUUUUCUUCAUGAAAUUCUUCUUUCAGCACAAGCUUUUGAUAUUGUUCUUUAUUUUCCUUUACUUAAUGCCAUUGCAAGUAUAUUUCAAGCAAAACUACCAAAGACCCAAAAAGAGAAAACAAAAUCUCCUGGUCAGCCCAUGAGGACCCAUACGCUGACAUCCCGCAAUUUACCUUUGAUUUAUAUCAACACAAGUGUAAUCAGAAUUUUUAUUCCAAAAACAGAAGAAAUGCAAGUUUUCUGGGGUUUUUUGUUUCUUUUAAAAAAUAAGAGCAGUUGGUUGUGCUUUGCGGUUUGGUAUAUUUUAUAGAGAAG
This 1435-nucleotide long non-coding RNA is filed under the name Rhinopithecus bieti (black snub-nosed monkey). RNAcentral's name for it is "lncRNA (ENSRBIG00000045495.1)". The record is from RNAcentral. Lineage: Eukaryota; Metazoa; Chordata; Mammalia; Primates; Cercopithecidae.